AAUUCUGAAGAAUCUCAUGCAAAGAUUGCUAACAUUCAGCAAAUCAUCAUGGCGAUUAAUGCCCUGAGCAAGGGAUUCAGUGAGCGGCUUGUGAAUUCUUGAUCUCAUCUGAGUUCCCUUCCUGCUCAUUUUAAUCGGCUUUAAAUUAAUGAAAAAUGGUGAUUGUAUUAAAAAUGAGAUGGACAUAACUGCUGAUUGCUUAAAUUAUCUUAAAAGAAAUGAGAGUUAGAUGUUGUGGGUACACAUGAAUAUGGAUUUCCUGCAAAUUUUAUAAGUCAAGACAUAAAGCAUAAGCUUGUAUGGGAAGUUCUUGAUGAUGGUUUGAAGAAUAAGAUUGAAAUUCAGUGGUCAGAUAUAAUGUCAUUAAAGAGUAAUUACCCAGAUGAUGGACCUGAGACUUUG
Long non-coding RNA from Impatiens glandulifera, 402 nucleotides. RefSeq lists it as uncharacterized. The transcript is spliced from 3 exons. The record is from RefSeq and is a predicted model, not a curated record. Lineage: Eukaryota; Viridiplantae; Streptophyta; Magnoliopsida; Ericales; Balsaminaceae.